Molecule: long non-coding RNA, 2406 nt
Filed under: Olea europaea (common olive)
Lineage: Eukaryota; Viridiplantae; Streptophyta; Magnoliopsida; Lamiales; Oleaceae
Description: long non-coding RNA (OEUR_LNC005912)
Source: RNAcentral
GACAACUCAAAUUAUAUUAACUUCGUUUCAUUAAAUUCCUUUACUAUUAUUCAAUAUUUUAAGCAUUCACCCUCAACAUAAAAUGCAGAGUUCAACUCCAUGGCAAGAAUGAGAUAUACUGAUGCCAAACAUAAUAAAAGGAACAAAAUUUACACACACUUUCCAAUAUCAAAUACAAAUUACAAUAAUAUUAGAAUCUCCCUCCUCACUACUAAUCAAACCAGCCCCUUUCCUUUCGAAUUCCCUUUGUCAAUCCUUUUCCCUUGUGGAAUGUCACAUUUAAUAAAAUCUCGACGUCUCCUUUUGCACUUAUUCGAGCUAGCGUUUCAAAUAGGCUUGAUAAAUCUUCGACGACUUCCUUGGCAGCAGGAUUCACUGCUUGAUUCUACUAGUACGACCAUGUAUAGCAUUCCUUCAUCCCAUUCUAAGAUGCAAAACAACCACAUAAAACAAAUGUCAAUACUACGCGAACUAAGAAGAUCGAGAAUAAUUCAUGUUCAAUGCUAAAGUUUUCAAAACUUAAAAUCACAACACCUACAAAAGUCAUUAGGUAUAUCCUCCUAAAGAACCAAAACCAUCCCCACAGUUCAUCCUAAACACUUUGCUGCAGUAGAGAACAAAGCAAUAAGAUGCAUAUCUUCUUCUAUUAAUCUCACCAACGCCAUCCCCCUUUUCAGGCUUACUGCUUUAAUUCUCAAACAAGCAAAUUCUUGACUAAAAAAGCUUGUCAUUCAUAGUCAUUGGUUCGCAACCAGGAAGUGUAGCCAUCUUAUCCAUAACCUCUUGAACACUACAUCCAGGUGGAUCGAUGCAUAUAUAGGAGCUCCUGUUUUUAACUGCUUCACGAAGUUCUUCAAGUUGUCUGCAUUGUUUUUUGUUGUUGAUUGCUUAUUUUUUCCCUUCCUUAGUCGCUUCCUAGUUGGCUCAACCACUUUAUCUUAGCGAUUGCUAUACCCUAUUUCCUCAUGGUUACCAUCAAAUUGUUCAUUUUCAGCAGAAUCAUCAUCUUCAAUAAUAGUUAUAUUUUGUGAAUAUAAAGAAUGCAUUACACCAGAUGUAGGCGCCCAAGCCCUUGCUCCAGUAGCUGUGACAUUGCGAAACAACUCAUCUAAUUUGAAUGCAUGAUCUAAGCCCUUCACACGAUAUUUUGCAGCUUCCAGAUAUUUUUGUUAAAUAAUUUAGAAUUUUAGAAAUAUUAUAUAAUUGGGUGUAUUAUAAUUAAAUAAAGAAAAUUGAAACACUUGUAGUUUUGUAACCCACCAUUCAUUUGGAGCACCUAUAGUUUGCCUUUCCAUAUCCCAAUCAAGUCCAGUUUUCCCCUCUUAACAAUGCAUCUCAUAGCUGCCACUCUUUCUUUACGACAUCCCAAUGAUUUUUUAGUUGUUUCCUAUCAUAAUCUAUAAUUGUUGCUUUGUUAAAGUUCUUAGUAAAAAGUUUCCAACCCUCUUUGCUCAAGUGUGUUCCAUUUCUGUUACCAGCCCUCACUUGUUCUACAACUACAUCAACCUAAAUCUCAUGUGUUCAUGCAUCCAAAUUGCUUUUGAUUUUCCCUUUAUUCCCUCAGUUGCCAACUACAUUUAAAAAUGUUGUUACACCCAAAUGAUUGAGGCCAAAUUCAUUGAUUAAGAAAGCCUCAAUUUGUAAAUUUGAACUGGUUAAAAAGUAGUGCAUCAUACUUACUUUAGGAUAAAACAUGCACUAUACUAUUUUGAAUUCCCAAAAAGCAAGAAUGCUAAAAAACAGAAGCAAGAAGAUUAUAAUAGCACAUCCAAAUUCAAUAAACAAGUCUAGUCGAGCUAAUUACUUUGCCAAAAAAAAAUUUCUAGCCAAUUAUAAUUUCGCAAUAAACUAAAAGCGUUUCACAUUAUGAAAACCCUACAUUUGGCCCCAGCUUCCAACAGCGGUUUGCUAGCAGAAAAUUUACGCCAAAUCAAACAAAUUGCUACAGAACUAAAACUAAGAAAGCAUACACUAUAUAUUUCUGAAUCCUCAAAAAGGAAUUAUAAAGAUUGAAAAAACAUAACAAGGCUUGCCAAGCUAAUUAGUUAGCCAAAAUUAUUGUAAAAUCAGGUAUACUCCCGUAAUAAUCCAAAAGCAUCCUCGAUAACUAAACCCUACCCUUGCCGCAAUUCCAAACAACGGUUUGCAAAAGUAAUUUUACACUGAAAUUCAAACAAACUGCUAUAAUAGAAAAAUAACGUUGUUGCAAAAUAAAAUGAUAAGAAAUUGAAGGUAAACUGCAAAAUCUUACAAAGAGAUGAGAGGAAUUCCUGCAGACACAAAUUAAAGAAAAGGAUUAGAGAAGAAGAAAUGAAGAGAAUUGAAAAGGUCGUGAUUUUUUAGGACAUGGUUGGAAUUUCAUUCUGUUCUUUACAAAUGUAAGGGUAAAAUUGGAAUUUUAAAUUU